ACAAGCGGUGGAUGAUGUGGAUUAAUUCGAUGCAACGCGAAAACCUUACCUACCCUUGACAUGUCCGGAAUCCCGAAGAGAUUUGGGAGUGCUCGCAAGAGAGCCGGAACACAGGUGCUGCAUGGCUGUCGUCAGCUCGUGUCGUGAGAUGUUGGGUUAAGUCCCGCAACGAGCGCAACCCUUGUCAUUAGUUGCCAUCAUUUGGUUGGGCACUCUAAUGAGACUGCCGGUGACAAACCGGAGGAAGGUGGGGAUGACGUCAAGUCCUCAUGGCCCUUAUGGGUAGGGCUUCACACGUCAUACAAUGGUCGGUACAGAGGGUUGCCAACCCGCGAGGGGGAGCUAAUCCCACAAAGCCGAUCGUAGUCCGGAUCGCAGUCUGCAACUCGACUGCGUGAAGUCGGAAUCGCUAGUAAUCGCGGAUCAGCACGCCGCGGUGAAUACGUUCCCGGGCCUU
This 457-nucleotide ribosomal RNA is filed under the name uncultured Rhodocyclaceae bacterium. Its description in RNAcentral is "bacterial SSU rRNA". It matches the Rfam family "Bacterial small subunit ribosomal RNA", at positions 925 to 1382 of the family's 1533-position model. Lineage: Bacteria; Pseudomonadati; Pseudomonadota; Betaproteobacteria; Rhodocyclales; Rhodocyclaceae. The record is from RNAcentral.